Molecule: ribosomal RNA, 806 nt
Filed under: uncultured bacterium
Lineage: Bacteria
Description: bacterial SSU rRNA
Rfam family: Bacterial small subunit ribosomal RNA
Source: RNAcentral
CAAGUCGAACGAGCAUUAGCAAUAAUGUGUAGUGGCGGACGGGUGCGUAACGCGUAAGAACCUACCUAUCGGAGGGGGGUAACAUUGGGAAACUGUUGCUAAUACCCCAUAAUAGCUGAGGAGCGAAAGGUGAAUAACCACCGGUAGAGGGGCUUGCGUCUGAUUAGCUAGUUGGGGGGGUAAAGGCCUCCCAAGGCCACGAUCAGUAGCUGGUCUGAGAGGAUGAUCAGCCACACUGGGACUGAGACACGGCCCAGACUCCUACGGGAGGCAGCAGUGGGGAAUUUUUCGCAAUGGGCGCAAGCCUGACGAAGCAAUGCCGCGUGCAGGAAGAAGGCCUGUGGGUUGUAAACUGCUUUUCCCAGAGAAGAAGUUCUGACGGUAUCUGGGGAAUAAGCACCGGCUAACCCUGUGCCAGCAGCCGCGGUAAUACAGGGGGUGCUAGCGUUAUCCGGAAUGAUUGGGCGUAAAGCGUUUGUAGGUGGUUCGUAAAGUCUAAUGUUAAAUACCAGGGCUUAACCCUGGACAGGCAUUGGAGUACUCACGAACUUGAGUGUGGUAGAGGUAGAGGGAAUUCCACGUGGAGCGGUGAAAUGCGUAGAGAUGUGGAGGAACACCAGCGGCGAAGGCGCUCUACUGGGCCAAGACUGACACUGAGAAACGAAAGCUGGGGGAGCAAAUAGGAUUAGAUACCCUAGUAGUCCCAGCUGUAAACUAUGGAGACUAAGUGCUGCCGAAUGCAGUGCUGUAGCUAACGCGUUAAGUCUCCCGCCUGGGGAGUAUGCUCGCAAGAGUGAAACUCAAAG